RNAcentral lists this non-coding RNA (98 nucleotides) under Streptomyces sp. RNAcentral's name for it is "Glycine sequence". It matches the Rfam family "Glycine riboswitch aptamer". From Rfam's summary of the family: This family represents the bacterial glycine riboswitch. Glycine riboswitches usually consist of two metabolite-binding aptamers domains with similar structures in tandem. The record is from RNAcentral. Lineage: Bacteria; Bacillati; Actinomycetota; Actinomycetes; Kitasatosporales; Streptomycetaceae.
CAACCCCGUGCGGGAGAGUCCCGGUGCCCACCAGGCCCGGGCGCCGAAGGAGCAACUCCUCCCCGGAAUCUCUCAGGCACCCGUACCGCGCGGGGCAG